Molecule: ribosomal RNA, 253 nt
Filed under: uncultured bacterium
Lineage: Bacteria
Description: partial 16S ribosomal RNA
Rfam family: Bacterial small subunit ribosomal RNA
Source: RNAcentral
UACGUAGGGUGCGAGCGUUAAUCGGAAUUACUGGGCGUAAAGCGUGCGCAGGCGGUUCGUGAUGUCUGAUGUGAAAGCCCCGGGCUCAACCUGGGAAUUGCAUUGGAAACUAGCGGGCUGGAGUGUGGCAGAGGGGGGUGGAAUUCCACGUGUAGCAGUGAAAUGCGUAGAGAUGUGGAGGAACACCGAUGGCGAAGGCGGCCCCCUGGGCUAACACUGACGCUCAUGCACGAAAGCGUGGGGAGCAAACAGG